GAUGAACGCUGGCGGCGUGCUUAACACAUGCAAGUCUAACUAUGAAGCCCAGCUUGCUGGGUGGAUUAGUGUAGAACGUGUGAGUAACACGUGAGUAACCUGCCCUUAACUCUGGGAUAAGCCUGGGAAACUGGGUCUAAUACCGUAUAGCAGCGCCUACCGCUUGGUGGUUGUUGGAAAGUUUUAUCGGUUUUGGAUGGACUCGCGGACUAUCAGCUUGUUGGUGAGGUAAUGGCUCACCAAGGCGACGACGGGUAGCCGGCCUGAGAGGGUGACCGGCCACACUGGGACUGAGACACGGCCCAGACUCCUACGGGAGGAAGCAGUGGGGAAUAUUGCACAAUGGGCGAAAGCCUGAUGCAGCGACGCCGCGUGAGGGAUGAAGGCCUUCGGGUUGUAAACCUCUUUCAGUAGGGAAGAAGAGAAAGUGACGGUACCUGCAGAAGAAGCACCGGCUAACUACGUG
RNAcentral lists this ribosomal RNA (466 nucleotides) under uncultured bacterium. RNAcentral's name for it is "partial 16S ribosomal RNA". It matches the Rfam family "Bacterial small subunit ribosomal RNA", at positions 28 to 507 of the family's 1533-position model. The record is from RNAcentral.